GGAGGAAAGCAGGGGAUCGCAAGACCUUGCGCUCAUUGAGCGGCCGAUGCCUGAUUAGCUAGUUGGUGAGGUAAAGGCUUACCAAGGCGACGAUCAGUAGCUGGUCUGAGAGGACGACCAGCCACACUGGGACUGAGACACGGCCCAGACUCCUACGGGAGGCAGCAGUGGGGAAUUUAGAACAAUGGGAGAAACCCUGAUCCAGCCAUGCCGCGUGAGUGGAGAAGGCCUUCGGGUUGUAAAGCUCUUUCAGCCGGAACGAAACGGUCACGGCUAAUACCUGUGACUACUGACGGUACCGGAAGAAGCACCGGCUAACUACGUGCCAGCAGCCGCGGUAAUACGUAGGGUGCGAGCGUUAAUCGGAAUUACUGGGCGUAAAGCGUGCGCAGGCGGUUUUGUAAGUCAGAUGUGAAAUCCCCGGGCUUAACCUGGGAACUGCGUUUGAAUUACGGGGCUAGAAGGGC
This 467-nucleotide ribosomal RNA is filed under the name uncultured beta proteobacterium. RNAcentral's name for it is "bacterial SSU rRNA". It matches the Rfam family "Bacterial small subunit ribosomal RNA", at positions 198 to 650 of the family's 1533-position model. Lineage: Bacteria; Pseudomonadati; Pseudomonadota; Betaproteobacteria. The record is from RNAcentral.